GCAGUGGGGAAUAUUGCACAAUGGGCGCAAGCCUGAUGCAGCCAUGCCGCGUGUAUGAAGAAGGCCUUCGGGUUGUAAAGUACUUUCAGCGGGGAGGAAGGCGAUGUGGUUAAUAACCGCAUUGAUUGACGUUACCCGCAGAAGAAGCACCGGCUAACUCCGUGCCAGCAGCCGCGGUAAUACGGAGGGUGCAAGCGUUAAUCGGAAUUACUGGGCGUAAAGCGCACGCAGGCGGUCUGUUAAGUCAGAUGUGAAAUCCCCGGGCUUAACCUGGGAACUGCAUUUGAAACUGGCAGGCUUGAGUCUCGUAGAGGGGGGUAGAAUUCCAGGUGUAGCGGUGAAAUGCGUAGAGAUCUGGAGGAAUACCGGUGGCGAAGGCGGCCCCCUGGACGAAGACUGACGCUCAGGUGCGAAAGCGUGGGGAGCAAACAGGAUUAGA
This 439-nucleotide ribosomal RNA is filed under the name uncultured bacterium. RNAcentral describes it as "bacterial SSU rRNA". It matches the Rfam family "Bacterial small subunit ribosomal RNA", at positions 351 to 782 of the family's 1533-position model. The record is from RNAcentral.